ACUCUGCGCGCCGCGCGGGGGUGGUUACUACUCGCGCAGCUGGGAUGGCUACUUUCUUCUGUUGACGGGGGCGCACAUGUCGGAUACCAUUCUGGAGACAAUAAAGACGUAGCGAAGGCCCCAGAUGAUGCUAAGCUUAUAGAAUGGAUUGUCUUACUGAUCCUGAGAACAGUUCUUUGAGGCUCAAUUCCGUUUUCAUACUUAUUGGAACCAACAAGUAUUAUAUUUGUCUGGUUUUUGUUGUCAUUGCUGUUGUUCCCCUACCUCCUAAAAUGUAAGCUCUGUGAGUACAAGAACUGUGUUUCUCUUGGUCACUGAUGUAUUCUCAAUGAUUCUGGUCCAUCUCAUGGAACAGAACAGAGUCAGCCAAGGAGGAUGCUGUUGAACAACUUAGAAGGCUAUUGCAACCAUCCCGGCAAGAGAUAACAAUAAUGUGGACUUGAGAGAUGGCAAAGCAGAUGCAGAAAACUGGAAGGAUUUCAAAGGAAGUUUUCCCUACAUUUUCCAUUUCAGCACCAGUCACUGAAUUUUCCCUUAGAUAUACAGAGCCAAUUUGACCCAGAGAUGCUUAAGAUCUAGUUCCCAUUCUGGAUAAUUCUAACUGUCCUUUUGAAGUGAACAUUAACAUAAAAUGAAAAAAUUGUUAAGUUACAUCCAAAUGAUUUCCUGCCCUGAUCACAGCCUCUACUGAUAGUAACCUUCUAUGGACCAGAUACUUUUCUAAGCACAUUACACUCAUUGAAUCCUAACGUUAAUCCUCUUGAGGUAUUUUUGUUAUUAUUAUCCCCACUCAACAAAGGAGAAAACUGAGGCAUGGAGUUAUUAAGAAAUAGCUAAGGUAUCUACUACAUAGGGGUGUUAAGUUUAAUUCAGAUAAUUUUUGUAAAGUACUUAUAAAAGUGCCUUGCAUAUGUUAAAUAAUAACUUCCUAAAUUUGUAAAAUAGUCAACAAUGGAAUUGAAGUUGGAAUCUGUGCAGUCUGGCUCCAAAGUCUGUGCAGUUAACCACUGCAUUCUACCACCAUUCAAAGUUUCGGCCCAAUGUUCCUUGAAUGCUAUUAAAAGAAGACAGAACCUAACUUCUGCUGCAAAGCUACCUUCAAAAGCAGGACUAACGUAAUUAGUUUUUUCAGUCCCAAAACUGAGUAGGUAUUAAUUACAAAUGUUUAAGUUACAGGUGCAACAAAAAUUUAUGAAGCACCCACAAUGUCACACAUGUCUCUACCCUAAAGAACACUUCAGUCUAACACAAGCCUUUUUCAGUCUGAGAUUUCAAUAGAGAAUCCUUAGUUCCUUUAGCCACCCACACAUAUAGUACAUUAAUUUCUCUCCUAUGCAUCUAGAAUCGUACUCAUAUACCAACCUGAAGAAAUAGCCACACAAUUUUUUUUAUAUUCUGUGAUUUACAUGGGGAACUUCAUGCACAAUUUCAAAACAAUGUGACAAAUGUUACAAGGUAAUAGAAGCAGAGUGAGUGUAGUUUAAGAGUAACAGCUCUGAAGUCAUAUUUGAAGUUGAAUAUAAAGCUUAGCCACUUACAGGAAGUAACCUCAGGUAGAACAUUUAACUUCUUUAAGUCUCACAAAAUUGUGAGGAUUAAAAUAGCGUAUGUGAGUUAUUUAGUAUAGUCCUGACAUAUGGUAGGUUUCAUAAUGGUGGUUAUUUUUAUUGUCUGCUUAUUAAGCAAACUCAUAAGUAUCUGUCUUGGACCACGAUGUCCAGGAUACCUUGAACAUACCAGCCAUUCAAUAAAUAUAUUUUUAUUUAAUGGAUGGCAUCUACCAGAGAUUCCUUAAAAUGUCAUGUAGGCUAAGAUGAAUGAAUGGGAUUUAACAAUGAAUUGGCAGAAGGAGACCAUUCCAGGCAAUGAAAACAUAUGAGUCAAUGAGAAAAAACACAAGAGCACACAAAAGUUUCUAGAAACUAUUAAGUACAUAGUUCAUUAUGACUGUGAGUAUAGCUAAUGUGGAUAAUGCCAGGAAAUGAAAACAUAGGCAGGUCCUAGAUAAUAAAGGGCCCUGUAUGACAUGCUAGAAAGAGUUGGAAUAAUAUUCUGUGAGGCAUAGUAGGUUGUGUCCAGCAGAGAAGUGGAGGAGGAGAAGCAACAUGAAGGAUUGGGUCUAGAAUAUCUCAAUCUUACAAUGUGGGAGUCAAUAGGUGGAGGAACAGGACAUUGAAGUUUAAGUAUAUUAUUUAUAGAUAUAAAGGUAACCAGUAGAGAAAGAAAAAAUAACCAUAACUCUUGAGCCAAAUGCUUAUCUGUCAUUGUAGUAAGUGAAUAGAUAAUACCUGUAGUUGAUACAUGAAGAAAUAACUUUAGGACCAUUCUGUUCUAAGAUAUGUAUAGUAACUGCCAAAAAAACUAAAAAUAAAUAAGAGUAGUUGCCUCUUGGAAGUAGGAAUGAGAGUGUAUGAACUUGGCAAUAAAUAUUUUUAAAUCUAAUAGGUCAGAGGAAAAAAGCUUUCCUUUAUUAAGCACUCACUGUGUGUCAAGCUGUAAGACCCCAUCACCUCCUUAAUGAAGGAGGCCCCCCACUCCUGAGCCUACAGAGAUUGCAUCAUUGGCCAUCUUUCUAGAACACGCUAAACUGAUACUUGCCUGAGGACUUCUCCACUUUCCAUUCUGUCUGUUCUUUCCAAAGGUCUUUCUUUGCAUGACUAACUCCUCAUUAUUCAGUGUUCAUCUUAAACAUACCCUCCCCAACAAGGUUGUCUUGCCACCCGAAGUUGCUCCCUUUUCUCCCCCAACCAGUCACUUUCAAUCACACUGGCCUAUUUUACUUUCUUCAUAACACAUAUAAUAACUGAAGUUACCUUAUUUAUUUAUUUACACUACAUCUUCCCCACCACAACAUAAGCUUACAAGAAAGGGACCUUAUCCAUCUUAUUCACCACUGAUAUCCCUAGUACCCAGAACAGUGACUGGCACAUAAUAGGUGCUCAAUAAAUGUUUGUUCAGUGAAUGAAGUCUUGCAGGUAUCAUACGCACCUCUAGCAUCCUAUGAUCUUGAGGACGAUGAUAGCUUCUUUUUCUUUUUAAUCCCCAGGGCCUGAUUCAAAAUAUGAGCUAAUAUAAUAUUCAGUAGGUAUUCAAGAAAAGUUUAUUACUAAAUUUAUAAAUGAAUACUGAAGUAAGGGUCAUGCCAAUAUGGUCUUUUUAUUUUAUAUGCCAUCUCAUCUUAUAGUACAAAGGUAACCAGUACUUAAAACCCUAGUACUUCUCUAGUAUAAAUAUAUACACAUGUAACCAGGAAUGUGUUUCCCACUGUCCAUCCAAACCCUUCCAAGUGCCAGACUGGGGCCCCUGCUGCUCCUUCAUCAUCAGUGUUCUCUAGGGGUGAAGGACCUCACACUGUUUUGAAAAGAAUGCCCUGUUGACUCAGUUCAGAACAGAGCAGUUCAAGUGGGAGCCUAGAAAAGUCUUAGGGUACAAGUGGACAUCAUUCACCUGGAUGAUCCAGGAAGCUGAGUACAGGUGCUAGAAUGACCUGACAGUGAUGCCAACAGCACCUACACAAAGGUGGCAUGCUCACUCAGAUGGCAGGGAUGGUCUGCAGUCACUGGCCUGCCUGCCAGUAGCUCUCCAGGGCUGGCCAGCAACCGCCCGAACUUAACUUUGUUUCUCUUUGUAUCCCUGAUCUAACAAUCACUAUUCUCCCAAAAUCAACCCAAUGGAUUUAACUGCUUAGAAGUGUGGGGCAAGAAAGAAACCCACAGCGCUAACAUUUCAAGAUCUUUUCUCACUGCUUAUAACAAAAAACCACACAUUCUAUUACCAAAAUGAAACUGUUUAAAACCAAAAUGCAACUAUUUAUAGAUCAUCUCUUGCAUUGUUUUGUAAAUAACACUUGGCAGUGCUAGUGGAUUUGUCAUACAUAUUCUACAAUUAUAGACUUUCUGGGGAAUUUAUCUAAUCCAAAGGAUUUUAUUUCUGAUGAGCUAUUUUAAGAUUCUAGUUUCCUCAGAAGGAGGAAGUAAGGGGUAUGCCAAUAUGGUCUUUUUAUUUUAGAAAAUACUAUCUUUUUGGGUGCUUUUCAGAUUUAAUUUCCUAGUGAAAAUAAUGAUGUCAUGAAUAGUUUGAUUAUUUUUGGUUAGGGGAAGCCAUUGAAUUACUGUGAUUAAUUGCUAAAUAAUGAGACCAAUUUAAAUAAACCUCUCCAGAAAUACGAUCUGUGCUGUAUCCCCCAGCAGGGCCUUAAUAUUGUUGGGAUAGAGGACAAGAGGGAGUUAAGAAGGAAAAUGAGAAAGAAGAAAAAAGAAAAGAAAUGCAUAUUUAGAUACUUUUUGCUUUCAAUCAUCUAAAGGAAUAGUUCUGAAUCUUUAGUCACGGAGGCAUACGAUAUUGGGGACAUAAGGAGGCCUAAUGAUCUGGUUCAACUUACUCAUUUUAUAGUAGAGAGAAAACCAAGGUUCUGGAAAAUUUUAGUGACAUGCCCAUGCACUCAUUUAAAAAAAAUAAAUACAUAGAACAGUCCUUUUGCAAUCAGAAAAUUGCAGUGUUUCUUUUUACUUCUUGAGCUGAUUUUCAUUCCAUGCCCUUUGGAAUUUUACCCUAAUAAAAUCUUUUUACCCUAAGAUUCCUCAAGGGAGGAACAACCUAAGACAGGCACAGUCGCAGGGGGGCCAUCAGGUGAGAAAU
Molecule: long non-coding RNA, 4638 nt
Organism: Manis javanica (Malayan pangolin)
Lineage: Eukaryota; Metazoa; Chordata; Mammalia; Pholidota; Manidae
Source: RefSeq, a predicted model, not a curated record